This is a long non-coding RNA of Daphnia pulicaria, 421 nucleotides long. RefSeq lists it as uncharacterized. NCBI's taxonomy places the organism in Eukaryota, Metazoa, Arthropoda, Branchiopoda, Diplostraca, Daphniidae. The record is from RefSeq and is a predicted model, not a curated record. The transcript has 2 exons.
UACAAUUUACCUAUUUUACUAAUUACUAGAACGUUAUGUCACAGAUAAAGACGACGUCGUCUUUAUCUAUUGUUAUGUUGUAAGAAAUUUGUAAAAAGAAGUCUUCAUUUUAAUGUGGCUUCGAACUCCAAUUCCAGCUGUUUCAUGCUAAAUACUCCUCGAGGAUGCUAAAAAAUGGCUCUUAAUAUUUUUUUAACAUAAUAUCAUGAUAAUAUCUUACAUGGAUAUUACUUGUUCAAAUUCAAAUGCUAUUUUUCUAAUAGCACUAGCUCUAUAUCCUAUUUGGAAAAAAUCAAGUUUAUUGUGUGCUGCUGUCAUUCAUUCAAGGUGGCCUUCUACAACCAGUACCAACCACAACAAAUCAAGUCGUACAUUAAAUUGGAAUCUGGGAGAUCGUUGAUGGCUUUCGAGUCCCAUUGCU